UGGGGAAUUUUGGACAACGGGGGAAACCCUGAUCCAGCCAUCCCGCGUGUGCGAUGAAGGCCUUCGGGUUGUAAAGCACUUUUGGCAGGAAAGAAACGUCGCGGGUUAAUACCCCGCGAAACUGACGGUACCUGCAGAAUAAGCACCGGCUAACUACGUGCCAGCAGCCGCGGUAAUACGUAGGGUGCAAGCGUUAAUCGGAAUUACUGGGCGUAAAGCGUGCGCAGGCGGUUCGGAAAGAAAGAUGUGAAAUCCCAGAGCUUAACUUUGGAACUGCAUUUUUAACUACCGGGCUAGAGUGUGUCAGAGGGAGGUGGAAUUCCGCGUGUAGCAGUGAAAUGCGUAGAUAUGCGGAGGAACACCGAUGGCGAAGGCAGCCUCCUGGGAUAACACUGACGCUCAUGCACGAAAGCGUGGGGAGCAAACAGGAUUAGAUACCCUGGUAGUCCACGCCCUAAACGAUGUCAACUAGCUGUUGGGGCCUUCGGGCCUUGGUAGCGCAGCUAACGCGUGAAGUUGACCGCCUGGGGAGUACGGUCGCAAGAUUAAAACUCAAAUGAAUUGAC
Molecule: ribosomal RNA, 566 nt
Filed under: uncultured bacterium
Lineage: Bacteria
Description: partial 16S ribosomal RNA
Rfam family: Bacterial small subunit ribosomal RNA
Source: RNAcentral